GAGAGGAUGGCUGGAGUGGUUGAUAGCCCCCGGUCUGAAAACCCGGUAAUU
RNAcentral lists this transfer RNA (51 nucleotides) under Anathallis pachyphyta. RNAcentral's name for it is "partial tRNA-Ser". The record is from RNAcentral. Lineage: Eukaryota; Viridiplantae; Streptophyta; Magnoliopsida; Asparagales; Orchidaceae.